This 432-nucleotide ribosomal RNA is filed under the name uncultured bacterium. Its description in RNAcentral is "partial 16S ribosomal RNA". It matches the Rfam family "Bacterial small subunit ribosomal RNA", at positions 29 to 507 of the family's 1533-position model. The record is from RNAcentral.
ACGAACGCUGGCGGCAUGCCUAACACAUGCAAGUCGAACGAGACCUUCGGGUCUAGUGGCGCACGGGUGCGUAACGCGUGGGAACCUGCCCUUAGGUUCGGAAUAACUCCCCGAAAGGGGUGCUAAUACCGGAUAAUGUCUUCGGACCAAAGAUUUAUCGCCUUUGGAUGGGCCCGCGUUGGAUUAGCUAGUCGGUAGGGUAAAAGCCUACCAAGGCGACGAUCCAUAGCUGGUCUGAGAGGAUGAUCAGCCACACUGGGACUGAGACACGGCCCAGACUCCUACGGGAGGCAGCAGUGGGGAAUAUUGGACAAUGGGCGAAAGCCUGAUCCAGCAAUGCCGCGUGAGUGAUGAAGGCCUUAGGGUUGUAAAGCUCUUUUACCCGGGAUGAUAAUGACAGUACCGGGAGAAUAAGCUCCGGCUAACUCCGUG